RNAcentral lists this ribosomal RNA (241 nucleotides) under uncultured bacterium. Its description in RNAcentral is "partial 16S ribosomal RNA". It matches the Rfam family "Bacterial small subunit ribosomal RNA", at positions 28 to 269 of the family's 1533-position model. The record is from RNAcentral.
GACGAACGCUGGCGGCGUGCUUAACACAUGCAAGUCGAGCGGUAAGGCCCUUUCGGGGGUACACGAGCGGCGAACGGGCGAGUAACACGUGGGUGACCUGCCCUCAGCUCUGGGAUAAGCCUGGGAAACCGGGUCUAAUACCGGAUAUGACUCCAUGACGCAUGUUGUGGGGUGGAAAGCCUUGUGCGGCUGAGGAUGGGCCCGCGGCCUAUCAGCUUGUUGGUGGGGGUGANGGCCUACC